UACUCUCACACUCCUAAUUGCUUUGGAUUGGGAGCGGUGGACUUGGGUGCUGCUGCUUGACCGUGGCUCACCUGAAAUAUGAUAGUGCACCUCCUGGUUGGACAUAGUACGGCGUGAUAAGUGUCUUCGCCGGCUCCUCGCAACGAGGGUGGCCGAUCGGGAGCUCUGUGCUUCAAACUGUCUUCGGACAAUCUUCUGGCG
This 201-nucleotide unclassified non-coding RNA is filed under the name uncultured Sebacina. RNAcentral describes it as "sequence contains ITS2". Lineage: Eukaryota; Fungi; Basidiomycota; Agaricomycetes; Sebacinales; Sebacinaceae. The record is from RNAcentral.